AUGAAUGCUGGCGGCGUGUCUAAGGCAUGCAAGUCGAAUGUCUGUAGCAAUACAGGCAUGGCAAACGGGAGAGUAACACAUUGGUAAUCUACCCUCUAGACGAGAAUAACCCGCCGAAAGGCGGAGUAAUACUCGAUGGUAUCAAAAGACAUAAGUUUUUUGAUUAAAGCUCCGGCGCUAGAGGAGGAACCUAUGGCCUAUCAGCUAGUUGGUGAGGUAAUGGCUCACCAAGGCAACGACGGGUAUGGGGUGCGAGAGCAUGACCCCACUCACUGGGACUGAGACACUGCCCAGACUCCUACGGGAGGCUGCAGUCAAGAAUCUUCCUCAAUGGGCGAAAGCCUGAAGGAGCGACGCCGCGUGUAUGAUGAAGCCCUUCGGGGUGUAAAAUACUUUUAUCUGGGACGAAACAAUGACGGUACCAGAUGAAUAAGGGGCUGCUAACUUCGU
This 450-nucleotide ribosomal RNA is filed under the name uncultured bacterium. Its description in RNAcentral is "bacterial SSU rRNA". It matches the Rfam family "Bacterial small subunit ribosomal RNA", at positions 29 to 506 of the family's 1533-position model. The record is from RNAcentral.